GAUGAACGCUAGCGGCAGGCUUAAUACAUGCAAGUCGUGGGGCAGCAGGUCUGUAGCAAUACAGAUGCUGGCGGCCGGCAAACGGGUGCGGAACACGUACGCAACCUUCCUUCGAGUGGGGGAGUAGCCCGGGGAAACCCGGAUUAAUACCCCGUCAUAUAAUGAGGUGGCAGUCAUCUUAUUAUUAUAGCAGCAAUGCGCUUGAAGAUGGGCGUGCGCCUGAUUAGGUAGUUGGCGGGGUAACGGCCCACCAAGCCUACGAUCAGUAACUGGUGUGAGAGCACGACCAGUCACACGGGCACUGAGACACGGGCCCGACUCCUACGGGAGGCAGCAGUAAGGAAUAUUGGGCAAUGGACGCAAGUCUGACCCAGCCAUGCCGCGUGGAGGAUGAAGGUCCUCUGGAUUGUAAACUUCUUUUAUCUGAGAAGAAAACCAGGAAUUCUUUCCUGGCUGACGGUACCAGAUGAAUAAGCACCGGCUAACUCCGUGCCAGCAGCCGCGGUAAUACGGAGGGUGCAAGCGUUAUCCGGAUUCACUGGGUUUCAAAGGGUGCGUAGGUGGGUUGGUAAGUCCGUGGUGAAAUCCCCGAAGCUUAACUUGGGAACUGCCGUGGAUACUAUCAAUCUUGAAUAUCGUGGAGGUAAGCGGAAUAUGUCAUGUAGCGGUGAAUGCUUAGAUAUGNCAUAGAACACCGAUAGCGGAGGCAGCUUUGCUACACGAUCAUUGACACUGAGGGCACGAAAGCGU
This 750-nucleotide ribosomal RNA is filed under the name uncultured bacterium. Its description in RNAcentral is "bacterial SSU rRNA". It matches the Rfam family "Bacterial small subunit ribosomal RNA", at positions 28 to 762 of the family's 1533-position model. The record is from RNAcentral.